ACCAAUAUUACAGUCGGUAAAAUACCGGUAAUUUCCAGCCGUAACCGGGAAUUUACCGAACGUUGUAUAGGCAAAUAAAAAUGUAAAAACCUGUUGAAUUACCCAUCUAUGUCUUCGUACUUACAAAAAAAAACAAUUACUACGGUUUACGAUUACGAAGAGACACUUAAAAUACUUACUUUUCUGCAUCUUAUGAUCUCGUCUGAGUAGGAACUAUUUAGGAAGCAAUGUUUUGUGACAAAUGAGUGGUCGCUAAUCCCUCGCCCUUUCCCUUCUCGCCACCCCUACCCGACCCGCCUUACUAUAUAUUUAACAAACGCAAUUAUUUUAUAUAUAAUUAACAGAAUGAUCUGAUGAUGACAUGUUCCUGAUUCCAACUCCUAUCUUAAGAGCCCGGUAACGAUUUUAGAGCAAAAAUUUUAAAUUGAUAGAUUUAGUCGUUGGAAUUGUACACCUUUUGUUACGUAAUAUCUAAAUAACAAGUAUUGGUUUCUAUUAGCACGUUUUUUCAUCUUGCCUUUUAAUAAUGAGGUCGCAAGCGUGCUUCCCCGGUAAUAGGUGACGAGAAGGGAUAUAUUUUUUAAAUUCAUAUAAAUUAUGGUAGUAAAUUAUACAAAAUGAUGUAUAAGAACAGUUUCAGCAAAUGUUGUAGAUUGUUUAAGUAUCAAAAUUACGUUGAAAUUAAGUCAAUUUUCAGAGAAAUUGUCACUUGUUUUGAAGUAAUUUCUGGAGAAAAUUGAUUUCGUCUAACUUUCAUUUACACUACUUCAAAUUUAUAGUAACAAAAAUGUAGUUUAUUAAAGUUGAAGUACAGGAUAUGUGUAAUACAAAAUUACCAUUUUUAGCAAUCCAAACUUAACGAAAUUUACAAAUAAGAUCGACAAAAUCACUGCUUUUCGCGCGUUUACCUAAACGUCCAUCAGAAAAAAAAACAUUACUAAUUAAGUGAGUCUGUUUAAAAAAAAUAUAUUUAUUAUAAUGAAAGAUAACAAGACGUGCUAAAAAAAACCAGUACUUGUCAUUUUUAAUAGUUAACAAAAGGUGUACAAUUUCAUGCGCUUAAUCUAUCAAUUUGACAUUUUUGCGACUAAAAUCGAUAACGGCCUCUUAAAGUGCAAUUUUAAAGUAACUAGUGUUAAAAUGAUAUGAAAUUAAUCUUGCUGUUAAAUUUUUUUUUCUUAUAUUUACUAGAUUUUAAUGAAUGUUGAUUACGGUUUUAGUUACUUUAAUAACAAUAUUAUAUUGAUAGAUGUGUAAAUGCAAACUUGUAUGACAUUUAAAUGACGACUGUCACUCUUUAGUUAUAAUUUUUGUUACCCUUUGAUUACUGCGAUUUUUAAAGAAUUAAAAAAGUUUGAUGUUGCUUAUUUAAUGUACAAGUUCAUUUCGCUUUGAAAUGAUACAUGUUUGAUUUUUUAUUUAAUAUGAUUAGUAAAUAUAUCUUGUUUAAUG
Molecule: long non-coding RNA, 1452 nt
Organism: Cydia pomonella (codling moth)
Lineage: Eukaryota; Metazoa; Arthropoda; Insecta; Lepidoptera; Tortricidae
Exons: 2
Source: RefSeq, a predicted model, not a curated record